AUCCUUUUGUAGUUCAUAAGCGUGAUGAUUGGGUUUUUAUUCACAUGCGUGAGACGUGCCUCCCACAAACCUUGUCAAGACAUCAGCACAUUACCCAUCUGAUG
Small nucleolar RNA from Nycticebus coucang (slow loris), 104 nucleotides. RefSeq annotates it as small nucleolar RNA U13. The transcript has a single exon. Lineage: Eukaryota; Metazoa; Chordata; Mammalia; Primates; Lorisidae. The record is from RefSeq and is a predicted model, not a curated record.